AACGCACAUUGCGCCCCUUGGUAUUCCGAGGGGCAUGCCUGUUCGAGCGUCAUUUAAACUCUCAAGCACCGCUUGGUAUUGGGUGCGGCCCCUAGGGGCCCUCCCGCAACCCGUUGGGCGGGACCGAUCGGCUCCGAGCGUAGCAAGAAUCUUCCCUCGCUACGGAGACCGGCCGGCCCUCGCCCGGGAACCACCCCCAAAGUUUGACCUCGGAUCAGGUAGGGAUACCCGCUGAACUUAA
RNAcentral lists this unclassified non-coding RNA (241 nucleotides) under uncultured fungus. Its description in RNAcentral is "sequence contains ITS2". The stretch from base 1 to 52 matches the Rfam family "5.8S ribosomal RNA", at positions 103 to 154 of the family's 154-position model. Lineage: Eukaryota; Fungi. The record is from RNAcentral.